UUUAACAAGGCCUGGGGAAAUUCCACUGGCCUCAGUGGCUGAUGAUCUGGUCAGGGUUCGAGAGAGGACAACAGCUUCUUGGAUAUUCCUGUUGGUAAGGCCUUCAGGGAAUGGCUGGGUGAACAGCCAAGGGAGAAAGGGAAGGGAUGGUUUCUAUCAUUGGAUUGAACUGUAAAGGAGCUGCAGGGUGACAGAUGUUGGCAGGAAUUCCAGUAGAGUUUGUGUGUACAGUGACUCCCUAGCAGGGCUGACACCUGCACAGGCUAGGUGUACACCCUAGCAGAAGGAAAGGUUGCAACAUCACCAAGAAUUUUCCCCCAGGGCCAUUCUCCAGGCACUG
Molecule: long non-coding RNA, 340 nt
Organism: Homo sapiens (human)
Lineage: Eukaryota; Metazoa; Chordata; Mammalia; Primates; Hominidae
Source: Ensembl